This 497-nucleotide ribosomal RNA is filed under the name uncultured bacterium. RNAcentral describes it as "partial 16S ribosomal RNA". It matches the Rfam family "Bacterial small subunit ribosomal RNA", at positions 28 to 507 of the family's 1533-position model. The record is from RNAcentral.
GAUGAACGCUGGCGGCGUGCCUAAUACAUGCAAGUCGAGCGAACGGACGAGAAGCUUGCUUCUCUGAUGUUAGCGGCGGACGGGUGAGUAACACGUGGUUAACCUACCUAUAAGACUGGGAUAACUUCGGGAAACCGGAGCUAAUACCGGAUAAUAUUUUGAACCGCAUGGUUCAAAAGUGAAAGAAGGUCUUGCUGUCACUUAUAGAUGGAUCCGCGCUGCAUUAGCUAGUUGGUAAGGUAACGGCUUACCAGGGCAACGAUGCAUAGCCGACCUGAGAGGGUGAUCGGCCACACUGGAACUGAGACACGGUCCAGACUCCUACGGGAGGCAGCAGUAGGGAAUCUUCCGCAAUGGGCGAAAGCCUGACGGAGCAACGCCGCGUGAGUGAUGAAGGUCUUCGGAUCGUAAAACUCUGUUAUUAGGGAAGAACAUAUGUGUAAGUAACUGUGCACAUCUUGACGGUACCUAAUCAGAAAGCCACGGCUAACUACGUG